AUAAUUAAUGCGUACAAGUGCUCUUAUCUCGAGAGACUUCAUUAUCCAGUGCUAUUCUCGAUUACAAUCGAAAACGUUAGAAAGCAAUGGAAAUCAAUCCUAUUCAAAUUCUAUACAGCCGAAGCUCUGUUACGCUCUCCCAAAAUCGUGUCCGGGGGAUUAAUGUCGAGCCUAGUGCGUCGAUAUAUCGGUUUCCUGCAAAUGACCUGGUUCGCAAAAGGUUGCAAGGGUCAAUUAAUCACAAUAUCACUAUCAUCCGCUUCGCGUUACCCUCCGCGGCACGUACUGGCAGCUUCGCUUCUAAACGCACUCAUUCAUCACCGGCACCUGAUAUCGGCUAUUUUCGCACACGCAAGCCCGACACACAUUUUAUUUAACUUGCAUUAUUUAACUUCGAUUAAACGAAACGCGGCACGCGUUUAUCCGGCAUUCGAUUCGCUUUUUUGCUCGUAUGAUGAAAGAUGCAUCCGCGAUAUCGAGACGGUGAAGAAGAUAAAUUCGCCAUCUCAGACUUCGAUCGAAGACGACAUGCAACAUCUUAAUCGAAUUCAAAGCUCUUCUUACUGCUACAACAUGACGCGACGGGGAUGCAAAUGUGGGGCAGAUCGAAACUACAAUCAUCCGACAUUGACUGCCUCCUCGUCGGGAGUCGGGGGUAUUUUUAAUCCCUUCCCCCUCCCCCUCUUCCGCGGCCGGGAAGCGGUGGUGACGAGCUUGACGUCAAGCAGGCUAGAGACACGGAUGAUUUGCUCCAGCGUGGCGGUAUAUGUACAACAUACGAUAUACUUUGUCAAUAGAAUGGGAUGCGCCGCCGCUCAGGUGAUCGAUCGGUCACCGCCUUCCUCUCGCGAUCGUCUCCUCUCCCUCCGCGACAUUUUCCCCCUGUCGUGUCUUGGAGGCCGUGCGUUGAUCGAUCGCCGUCUGGCCUUGAGAUCACUCGUCCGCCACGCGGAAUAUCGAUAAUUUUAGUUGCACAUAUAUAAUAAUGCUCCAUUAAAUUAUCGCCAUGGGCACGAGAGAGAGAGCGAGAGAGAGAGAGAGAGAGAAAAGAUUGUCUUAACUCGAGAAGGAAUCGAAGGAGUUAUGCAAUAAAUCAGAGACUGUACACGUGAAAAGGACAUGUAAACGUAUGCGAACGUUAAAUAUAUGCGGUAGAUACGUAUUCCGUUAUUUAAA
RNAcentral lists this long non-coding RNA (1176 nucleotides) under Monomorium pharaonis (pharaoh ant). Its description in RNAcentral is "uncharacterized LOC105837406, transcript variant X1". Lineage: Eukaryota; Metazoa; Arthropoda; Insecta; Hymenoptera; Formicidae. The record is from RNAcentral.